AUCAAUAGAUUUUCCAAUCAAAGAAUCCGGUGGCACUGGUUAUGAUAAAGGAUUCAUAUAAUUAAAUUCAUUGUAUGCUGGAAUCGUUCUGCGCCCGGAGGGUGGGAAGUUGAUUAUAUACGAACCAAAGGUGAAAGACCACCAAUUUAGCGGAGCAAUCAUUAAGGUUUCAAAUGGAAUGCCUGGUAAUGCAGGCACUAUCCAACUAGGUUGGAUGGUCAACCCUCUUUAUUUCGGAGAUGGGCAAGCAAGAUUGUUCGCAGCUUG
This is a long non-coding RNA of Theobroma umbraticum, 267 nucleotides long. RefSeq lists it as uncharacterized. NCBI's taxonomy places the organism in Eukaryota, Viridiplantae, Streptophyta, Magnoliopsida, Malvales, Malvaceae. The record is from RefSeq and is a predicted model, not a curated record.